GGCUUCAUGGUAGAAUGGUAAGAACACUUGCCUCUCACUCUGGAGUCCCGGAUUCGAUCCCCGGCCGAAGAGCUA
Molecule: transfer RNA, 75 nt
Filed under: Rhamnusium bicolor
Lineage: Eukaryota; Metazoa; Arthropoda; Insecta; Coleoptera; Cerambycidae
Description: tRNA-OTHER
Source: RNAcentral